GACGAACGCUGGCGGCGUGCCUAAUACAUGCAAGUAGAACGCACAGUUUAUACCGUAGCUUGCUACACCAUAGACUGUGAGUUGCGAACGGGUGAGUAACGCGUAGGUAACCUGCCUGGUAGCGGGGGAUAACUAUUGGAAACGAUAGCUAAUACCGCAUAAUAUUGAUUAUUGCAUGAUAAUUGAUUGAAAGAUGCUAUUGCAUCACUACCAGAUGGACCUGCGUUGUAUUAGCUAGUAGGUGAGGUAACGGCUCACCUAGGCGACGAUACAUAGCCGACCUGAGAGGGUGAUCGGCCACACUGGGACUGAGACACGGCCCCGACUCCUACGGGAGGCAGCAGUAGGGAAUCUUCGGCAAUGGACGAAAGUCUGAACGAGCAACGCCGCGUGAGUGAAGAAGGUUUUCGGAUCGGAAAGCUCUGUUGUAAGAGAAGAACGGGUGUGAGAGUGGAAAGUUCACACUGUGACGGUAUCUUACCAGAAAGGGACGGCUAACUACGUG
Molecule: ribosomal RNA, 505 nt
Filed under: uncultured bacterium
Lineage: Bacteria
Description: partial 16S ribosomal RNA
Rfam family: Bacterial small subunit ribosomal RNA
Source: RNAcentral